This 225-nucleotide unclassified non-coding RNA is filed under the name Hevea brasiliensis (rubber tree). Lineage: Eukaryota; Viridiplantae; Streptophyta; Magnoliopsida; Malpighiales; Euphorbiaceae. The record is from RNAcentral.
AACAACAAAAAGUAUUACAUUGAUAUUAUUGAAACGAGGCCUUCAAAUGCAAUAAGUAUCAUUGAGACAGACUGCGAGGUGGACUUUGCACCUCCACUGGAUUACAAGGAACCUGAAAAACCUGCUCUGCCUAUUACUCAAAGCAAGGCAACUUCUCAAGUUGAAGAGGAUCCUGCUGAGACUGAACCAAAAUUUAGUCCUUUUACUGGAGUAGGGAGACGCUUG